UAGAGGAAGUAAAAGUCGUAACAAGGUUUCCGUAGGUGAACCUGCGGAAGGAUCAUUAUUGAAAUUAUAGGUGACGGUUGUAGCUGGCCUUUCGGGGCAUGUGCACGCCCGAGCCCUUAAUCCACACACACCUGUGAACCCAAUGUAAGGGCCCGUAAAAAAGGCCUUUAUGUCUCAUCACCAACCUUUUAUGUCUCAUAGAAUGUAAAUCUAUAUCCUCGCCUUAAAAAAGCGUUGAUAAAACUUAUACAACUUUCAACAACGGAUCUCUUGGCUCUCGCAUCGAUGAAGAACGCAGCGAAAUGCGAUAAGUAAUGUGAAUUGCAGAUUUUCAGUGAAUCAUCGAAUCUUUGAACGCACCUUGCGCUCCUUGGUAUUCCGAGGAGCAUGCCUGUUUGAGUGUCAUUAAAUUCUCAACUCCGAAUCGAUUUGUUUCGACUCGGAGCUUGGACUUUGGAGUGUGCUGGCGUCUGUCGGCUCCUCUUAAAUGCAUCAGCGGAAUAUAACCCCGGACAUCAGUGUGAUAAUCGUGUUGCGCUGUCGUCAGAGGUAUAAAAGUCCGCUCAUAAUGGUCUUCGGACAAACUUUACAAUCAAAUUUGACCUCAAAUCAGGUAGGACUACCCGCUGAACUUAAGCAUAUCAAUAAGCGGAGGAA
Molecule: ribosomal RNA, 657 nt
Filed under: Piloderma olivaceum
Lineage: Eukaryota; Fungi; Basidiomycota; Agaricomycetes; Atheliales; Atheliaceae
Description: eukaryotic LSU rRNA
Rfam family: 5.8S ribosomal RNA (bases 251-405)
Source: RNAcentral